RNAcentral lists this long non-coding RNA (1306 nucleotides) under Malus domestica (apple). RNAcentral describes it as "long non-coding RNA (MDOM_LNC015050)". Lineage: Eukaryota; Viridiplantae; Streptophyta; Magnoliopsida; Rosales; Rosaceae. The record is from RNAcentral.
CCCAAACUCCAUAACCGGCGAUAUGGGCCAAAUUAAUGUAUGGCUGCUGCUAUAUAGUUAUUAGGGAGAGAGAUUGGGUAUGGGUGGAAGGUAGUUGAUUUGCUCUGUGUGACUGUGUCACAUCGACUGUUGGUUGGAUAUCGUAUUUGUAUUCGUAUCGUAUCAUGUAUUAAUUAAUAACGUGACCUAACAGUCCAAGUGAAAGACAAUGUAACCAUGUAAGUUGACCCUUCACCUAUGUCUGCAUGCCAUAUGAUUUUUUAUUCCAUUUUAUCCCAGUUUACACUAGAUAAUGGAGAACAUGCCAUACAUUAUCUUCUUGUUCAAGUUCUCUUAUCCUUGAAGAUAAUUUCUUUUUUAUUAUUUUGUAAAAAUACUUUUUUUUUUCUAACUUUUUGUAAAAAUACUUGAGUAUGAAGAAGCUUGUUAUAAUUAAUAGGAUUCAAAUAUCACAAACUAAUUAUUAUUAUUAUUAUUAUUAAGAAGGGUUUGAGAUCUAGAAUACUAGCUGCCUUCAUAAUAUUUUUUGCCUAUCGGGACUUUCGAAAACUUUGGUAUGCUCUAGUGUAUGACAUACACCAAAUGAAUGAAUAGUUGGUUAUAUAUGCAACCAAAGAUUCAACUAUCAAGGAUUUCAUAUUUGAAGCUGUUCAAAUGAUAGGUCAACCAAAUAAAGUCGUCUCUCGGUUAAAAUUUUACUUAAUCAAAAUUGUUAAGUAAUUUAACGAUUUUCACUUUGAUUCAAUUUUAGAAUAUAAAAUAUGACAAUAAAACUGAACAAAAUCUUGAUCACAAAAGCACAAUGAACUAAAAGGUAGCUUAGCACAAUUUCCUUAUGGUGACAAGAAGAUAAUCUAAACCUAGACACCAAUAUUUUGAUAUAUAGUUGGAGUCUUGGAGACAUAACAAUGAAUUGGCUAACGAAUCUAUGGAACUUUAACGAAAAGUUUCUGAUAUUGUUCAUUUUAACGAAAAACUACAUUUUUAUACUUAAAAGUUAAUUUUGGUACUAUUCACUUUACUCUUUAUUUUGUCUUUAGUGUUAAAACUUAAAGUUUUCAAAUAUUUUUCAUUAGUUUUCCUAUGAAUCUAACCAUGUCUGCAGUCGCAUGCGCCUCAUGUUGUUACUAAAUUAAAAAGAAAGAACAAAGAAAUUGAAAUCGAAAUAUAGAUUCAUCAAUAUUCAAAAGUAGAUGUUGUCAUGCUCCUGCGUGAGCACAUGAAUCUUUAUGUUUUGUUUGGUAUUCUUCAUCUACCAAAGCUGCUUUAACCCGUCUUCCAAAAAAAAAAGCUGCUUUAACCCUCU